ACUGCUCAGUAACACGUGGACAACCUAACCUACAGAGGGGGAUAACCCCGGGAAACUGGGGAUAAUACCCCAUAGACUAUGGAUGCUGGAAUGCUUCGUAGUUGAAAGGUCCGCCGCUGUAGGAUGGGUCUGCGGCCGAUUAGGUUGUUGUUGGGGUAACGGCCCAACAAGCCUGUAAUCGGUACGGGUUGUGGGAGCAAGAGCCCGGAGAUGGAUUCUGAGACACGAAUCCAGGCCCUACGGGGCGCAGCAGGCGCGAAAACUUUGCAAUGCGGGAAACCGUGACAAGGGAACUCUGAGUGCCCGUUAAAUCGGGCUGUCCAUCGGUGUAAAAAACCGGUGAAGAAAGGGCCGGGCAAGACCGGUGCCAGCCGCCGCGGUAAUACCGGCGGCUCGAGUGGUGGCCACUAUUACUGGGCUUAAAGCGUUCGUAGCUGGUUUGUUAAGUCUCUGGGGAAAUCUUCCGGCUCAACCGGAAGGCGUCUCAGGGAUACUGGCAGACUAGGGACCGGGAGAGGUGAGAGGUACUCCAGGGGUAGGAGUGAAAUCCUGUAAUCCUUGGGGGACCACCUGUGGCGAAGGCGUCUCACCAGAACGGCUCCGACAGUGAGGGACGAAAGCUGGGGGAGCAAACCGGAUUAGAUACCCGGGUAGUCCCAGCUGUAAACGAUGCGCGUUAGGUGUAUCGGUGACCACGAGUCACCGAGGUGCCGAAGAGAAAUCGUGAAACGUGCCGCCUGGGAAGUACGGUCGCAAGGCUGAAACUUAAAGGAAUUGGCGGGGGAGCA
This 788-nucleotide ribosomal RNA is filed under the name uncultured archaeon. Its description in RNAcentral is "bacterial SSU rRNA". It matches the Rfam family "Archaeal small subunit ribosomal RNA", at positions 85 to 878 of the family's 1478-position model. The record is from RNAcentral.